AAUAAAUAUAAUAUUCACAUGUACCAAAUAAUGCCCUUCUUCGUUCCGUCGAUAAUUUUCGUGUCAAAAAUGAAAGUGCAAGCUUGUUUUUGUUCAAAAAUAUGAGAGUUGGACCGUUACCACGGCAACAGUCUAAUACUGGGGAUUCCAGACCGGCAAAGAACCAAUCCGCGCACGCCAUUUUAUCACGAGACUGCGUGCCAUAUAAUAAAUGUCUAAUAUUGAUCUCUGACAUAUCCUGCGAAACAAAUGUCAUGGCAUGUUACUUUUCCAUGAGGUUAAUUUUGUUAGUUAAAUAAUUUAAUUAACAAUUAAAUUAAACUGGCAAUUAUUUGGGGAGCUGACAACUUGCAAUAUAUCUCCAUAAAUUUUACAGCUCAUAACUCCUAAUGAAAGGCAGACCCCAAGGCCAUCAAUCAUAGCCCCAAGCAACAGGGAAAGCCAAGACAAAUCCGGGAGCCAGCUACAAAAUAUUGAUGAAGCCGAGUGUAAGGCUGAACUCCGUUUUGAAAAAGUCGACUUGCCUUUACUGGCAGAAGUCUUGGGGAUUCCUCGAGAGUUUCGGUGCGACCAACGAACCGUUUGUGACGGAAUGGAGGGUUUAUGCAUGCUUCUACGAAGAUUUGCAUAUCCUUGUCGAUACAACGACCUUAUUCCACGAUUUGGCAGGCCUGUACCAGAGAUUUCUAUGAUAACUUCCAAAGUCGCCGAUUUUAUUUAUGUCAAUCACGGUUACAGAAUUAUGAGAUGGUAUAAUAAGAUAUUAGGCCAAGAUAACUUAGAACUCUAUGCUGAAGCAAUUCUCUCAAAAGGUGCUGUAUUAAAUAAUUGUUUUGGAUUUGUCGAUGGCACUGUACGCCCUAUAUGUCGUCCCAAUGUCAAUCAAAGAGACGUAUUCAAUGGUCAUAACAGGGUUCAUGCGCUAAAAUUUCAAUCUGUUGGCAAUACCAAGUGGGAUAAUUGCUAAUUUGUUUGGUCCUGUUGAAGGUAAGCGACAUGAUUUCCGCGAUGCUGGUUGACUCUGGUUUGUUGGAUAGUCUGCAACAACAUGCUUUUUCAACAACCAACCAACCAUUGUGCAUAUAUGGUGACCCUGCGGCAAUAUGUUAUCAGAGGAUGUGUGCCACCAUCCUGGAACCUUACUCUCUUAA
Long non-coding RNA from Dendronephthya gigantea, 1151 nucleotides. RefSeq lists it as uncharacterized. NCBI's taxonomy places the organism in Eukaryota, Metazoa, Cnidaria, Anthozoa, Malacalcyonacea, Nephtheidae. The transcript is spliced from 3 exons. The record is from RefSeq and is a predicted model, not a curated record.